GCGUCGGUGGUUCAGUGGUAGAAUGCUCGCCUGCAACCCUGGCGGCCCGGGUUCGAUUCCCGGCCGACGCA
Molecule: transfer RNA, 71 nt
Organism: Toxocara canis (dog roundworm)
Lineage: Eukaryota; Metazoa; Nematoda; Chromadorea; Rhabditida; Toxocaridae
Rfam family: tRNA
About the family: Transfer RNA (tRNA) molecules are approximately 80 nucleotides in length. Their secondary structure includes four short double-helical elements and three loops (D, anti-codon, and T loops).
Source: Rfam